Schistocerca gregaria is the source of this 866-nucleotide long non-coding RNA. RefSeq lists it as uncharacterized. NCBI's taxonomy places the organism in Eukaryota, Metazoa, Arthropoda, Insecta, Orthoptera, Acrididae. The record is from RefSeq and is a predicted model, not a curated record. The transcript has 3 exons.
UGAGGCCUCUAACAUGACUUCAGCGGGCAUCGCAACACAGGAGAGCAGCGACCAAGCUGACACUGGAGAGGGCUCCCAUUAUGCUUUUCGAUCACUCGACUUCUAUUCGCCUCGUCUCUGUAAAGGAAUUACAAGCCUGGAAGUGGGACUACCGUUAAGGAAAGCGAGGAGGUCGUUUUCUAUCUUGUACGGAAAGGGUUGACCAACAAGAAGCUGCCAAAACUCCCUCCUCACUUACGACUUCGUUUCUCUUGCUAGAACUGAAGUUAAGAAUACCCACUAGCACUUUAUAGUGUUAAAACUACGACGACUGUUUACAAGUCACAGCUCACCCUAAUGUUCUCUGUCGCAGGUAAAGUUCUCGAGAGGAGCAGGACUUCUCUGACAUACGAGAUGCUGGCUGGCUCUCGCCACUAUUCUUCGUCUCCGCCUGUACCAGAAUGUAAUUGCUUCAGGUGUGAUCCUUGAAGGAGAAGUAGGUUACACGUCACAGAAGAGGGUACACUUUCAUACAAAAGAAUGGUAAGCAUUCACCUAUCAAGUCCACCAUCAAGCGGCUGUAGGACAAGCGCCACAACACAGGAAACAUGGCAGAUGCAGGAAAAGUGCUCAGUCAAAUGUGCUAAACACCAGAAAAAUUGAUCUCACGCUUGUUGCACAUUCUCUGAGUCCUAUGAGGGAUUGUGACAUCUUUCUAGUCAGGCUGGUCUUUAUGGUGUUAAUAUACAAAUGACGUUGGCAGGAAUGUUGAGUGCAUCUGUACAUAAUUCGAGCUGCUUAAUAAGCUGUUUUCGUGUUAUAGCUUGCGUGUUAUGAAAGCAUGCCAUUUGCUGCAUUGAAAAAUGAUCAAAAACGCGUUGUUAUUG